AUGUCCCUUCCAACCCAAAUCAUCCUGCGACCCCACUGGGGGGUGAGUUUCCAGUUUAACGAUCUAUUUCCAUCCAUUUCAGAGAGAAGAGAGGUGCAGAUAAUUGCAGUCCCUGCUGCAGAGGAAGAGGUGAAGGGAGAAGGUGCUGCUGGGCCUCCUUCCACCACUGAAACAAAGGAGACAGAGGGCGAGUCGCUGAUGGACAGAGCAAGAGCUCUGCCUGACACCACACCUGACACCGCAGGUGGAUCUCCCAGGUCUGCUGAGACAUGGCAGGAGGAAGAGGGAUCCUCACUGCUGGAGGAUGUCACAGCUCCAGAGAGCAACGCAGAGCCCUUGGCUGAGCGUGGGGCUGGAGACUCUGCUGAGGUGGCUUCCCUGGAGAGAAAGAAAGCGAAGAAGACUAAAGAAAAGAAGUCCAUCUCUGGGGAACAGGACUCUCUGCUUCCUCAAAGCACAGCACCAGCUCAAACCACAGAGUUGAAUGACACAAGUGCUGCUCCUCAAGAAAUCCAACCUCCCAGCGGUGAGGGAGCAAAACCAGGUGCUGAUGGAUGUAGUGAUGCCAGUGGAGACACACCUGAAGGCAACAGGAAUUUGGCACACCUGGAGAAGGAAGCUGGCAGCCCAGAAGCAGAGAGACUGAGCCCUGCAGAGCAGAGCAGCACAGCCGGGGGGGCUGCCUCAGCUCCCAGUGCCACAGCCCCGGGGGACAAGGUGGAGGAUGGAACAACCCCUGAGCACAGAGGAACAGCCAGGGGUGAUGUGGAAUGGGGCAGUGGUGCUCCUGGCCAGCUGCCAGCAGCCACAGCAGGUUCCCAGGCCUGGGACAGCAACAAGGAGCUGCUGUCAGCAGGGCAGGGAGCGAGUCCGUCUGGGCUGCCUCCUGCCAAGGGAGCCCCCCAAAGCAGGCCUGAGACCAAGACCUCCCCUGGGGCUCAGGGCCUGCAGGCUGGAAAGGCACCCAAGCAGAAAGGGACCAAUUCCACUGUCAAGGUGAGUGUGAGUGAGCUCUGGUGA
This 1020-nucleotide long non-coding RNA is filed under the name Taeniopygia guttata (zebra finch). RNAcentral's name for it is "lncRNA (ENSTGUG00000024043.1)". The record is from RNAcentral. Lineage: Eukaryota; Metazoa; Chordata; Aves; Passeriformes; Estrildidae.